RNAcentral lists this long non-coding RNA (316 nucleotides) under Sinocyclocheilus anshuiensis. RNAcentral describes it as "lncRNA (ENSSANG00000021789.1)". Lineage: Eukaryota; Metazoa; Chordata; Actinopteri; Cypriniformes; Cyprinidae. The record is from RNAcentral.
GCAUGCGCGGUGACGUCAUGUCAUAACGUUUAGUGGAUUACCUCUCUCUCUCACACACACACACACACACACACACAGGGACUCUCACAAAUGGCGUCAUAAACACCGGUUUGCUUCCUACCACUCCACCGAUACCCAAUGACAGCUACUCGCGUGCAUCCGUGGCGCGUGGCUUCGACCUAGAGACAGGAUUCUGCUCAGCCCAUCUGUGUUUCAACAGUGAAAGCCAAGCUGGAGUUAUCAGGCAGAAACACAGCACAGGACACUGUUAACCGAUGGAGAGAGAGAGAGAGGCAGAAAAGAAAAAACAUCUUGG